AUGCAUAAUGGGCAGUAUGUCAUAUUAGUAUGGAAAGAAAGAAGUGAUGGUUUGGGCCUUCAGGCCGAGCCCUGUCGGUUUGGGCCUUCAGGCCGAGCCCUGUCGGUUUGGGCCUUCAGGCCGAGCCCUGUCGGUUUGGCCCUUCAGGCCGAGCCCUGUCGGUUUGGGCCUUCAGGCCGAGCCCUGUCGGUUUGGGCCUUCAGGCCGAGCCCUGUCGGUUUGGCCCUUCAGGCCGAGCCCUGUCGGUUUGGGCCUUCAGGCCGAGCCCUGUCGGUUUGGGCCUUCAGGCCGAGCCCUGUCGGUUUGGGCCUUCAGGCCGAGCCCUGUCGGUUUGGGCCUUCAGGCCGAGCCCUGUCGGUUUGGGCCUUCAGGCCGAGCCCUGUCGGUUUGGGCCUUCAGGCCGAGCCCUGUCGGUUUGGGCCUUCAGGCCGAGCCCUGUCGGUUUGGGCCUUCAGGCCGAGCCCUGUCGGUUUGGGCCUUCAGGCCGAGCCCUGUCGGUUUGGGCCUUCAGGCCGAGCCCUGUCGGUUUGGGCCUUCAGGCCGAGCCCUGUCGGUUUGGCCCUUCAGGCCGAGCCCUGUCGGUUUGGCCCUUCAGGCCGAGCCCUGUCGGUUUGGCCCUUCAGGCCGAGCCCUGUCGGUUUGGGCCUUCAGGCCGAGCCCUGUCGGUUUGGGCCUUCAGGCCGAGCCCUGUCGGUUUGGCCCUUCAGGCCGAGCCCUGUCGGUUUGGCCCUUCAGGCCGAGCCCUGUCGGUUUGGGCCCUCAGGCCGAGCCCUGUCGGUUUGGCCCUUCAGGCCGAGCCCUGUCGGUUUGGCCCUUCAGGCCGAGCCCUGUCGGUUUGGGCCCUUCAGGCCGAGCCCUGUCGGUUUGGGCCCUCAGGCCGAGCCCUGUCGGUUUGGCCCUUCAGGCCGAGCCCUGUCGGUUUGGGCCUUCAGGCCGAGCCCUGUCGGUUUGGCCCUUCAGGCCGAGCCCUGUCGGUUUGGCCCUUCAGGCCGAGCCCUGUCGGUUUGGCCCUUCAGGCCGAGCCCUGUCGGUUUGGGCCUUCAGGCCGAGCCCUGUCGGUUUGGGCCCUCAGGCCGAGCCCUGUCGGUUUGGGCCCUCAGGCCGAGCCCUGUCGGUUUGGCCCUUCAGGCCGAGCCCUGUCGGUUUGGGCCUUCAGGCCGAGCCCUGUCGGUUUGGGCCUUCAGGCCGAGCCCUGUCGGUUUGGCCCUUCAGGCCGAGCCCUGUCGGUUUGGCCCUUCAGGCCGAGCCCUGUCGGUUUGGCCCUUCAGGCCGAGCCCUGUCGGUUUGGGCCUUCAGGCCGAGCCCUGUCGGUUUGGGCCCUUCAGGCCGAGCCCUGUCGGUUUGGCCCUUCAGGCCGAGCCCUGUCAGUGCUGUCGUGGAGUUGUUUAG
This 1389-nucleotide long non-coding RNA is filed under the name Oncorhynchus mykiss (rainbow trout). Its description in RNAcentral is "lncRNA (ENSOMYG00000071841.1)". Lineage: Eukaryota; Metazoa; Chordata; Actinopteri; Salmoniformes; Salmonidae. The record is from RNAcentral.